GAGGCCGAAGCUGUUGCGUCGUCGCCAGCGCAAACGGAUCCAAUCGUAGACUACAUUUCAAGCACGUGGCAGGCCAUUUCCACCAGUAAACAUGUAAUGUUUUACCGCGAGCCCGAACAGGAGAUCUAGGGAGUAAAUCAAAAGGAAUCUAGGAGCAGCAGUAACCCGCAGUCGCCAUAUCCGGCGGCAGUAAGCGGGGGGAGAUCACAACCA
Molecule: long non-coding RNA, 213 nt
Organism: Drosophila obscura
Lineage: Eukaryota; Metazoa; Arthropoda; Insecta; Diptera; Drosophilidae
Exons: 2
Source: RefSeq, a predicted model, not a curated record